GACGAACACUGGCUGCGUGCCUAAUACAUGCAAGUAAAACGCUGUUGCGAACGGGUUAGUAACUCGUAGGUAACUGCCUCAUAUCGGGGGAAAACUGUUGGAAACGAUAGCUAAUACCGCAUACUGUGAUCUAUACCUGCGUUGUAUUAGGUAGUUGUUGAGGUAAAGGCUCACCAAGGCGACGAUACAUAGCCGUCCUGAGAGGGUGAUCAGACACACUGGGACUGAGACACGGACCAGAAUCCUACGGGAGGCAGCAGUAGGGAAUCUGCGUCAAUGGACUGAAGUCUGACCGAGCAACGCGGCGUGAGUGAAGAAGUUGUUCGGAUCGUAAAGCGCUGUUGUUAGAGAAGCGGUAACUAACCAGACAGGGACGGCUAACUACGUGCCAGCAGCCGCGGUAAUUC
This 407-nucleotide ribosomal RNA is filed under the name uncultured bacterium. Its description in RNAcentral is "partial 16S ribosomal RNA". It matches the Rfam family "Bacterial small subunit ribosomal RNA", at positions 28 to 526 of the family's 1533-position model. The record is from RNAcentral.